Molecule: ribosomal RNA, 477 nt
Filed under: uncultured Planctomycetales bacterium
Lineage: Bacteria; Pseudomonadati; Planctomycetota; Planctomycetia; Planctomycetales
Description: bacterial SSU rRNA
Rfam family: Bacterial small subunit ribosomal RNA
Source: RNAcentral
UUCGCAAUGCCCGAAAGGGUGACGAAGCGACGCCGCGUGCGGGAAGAAGGCCUUCGGGUUGUAAACCGCUGUCGGGAGUUAAGAAAUGUAAGGAUGUUAAUAGCAUCUUUGCUUGACUAAGGCUCCGGAGGAAGCCACGGCUAACUCUGUGCCAGCAGCCGCGGUAAUACAGAGGCGGCAAGCGUUGUUCGGAAUUAUUGGGCGUAAAGAGCACGUAGGCGGCUAUGUAAGUCGGUUGUGAAAGCCUUCCGCUCAACGGGAGAACAGCAUCCGAUACUGCAUGGCUUGAGUGCGGGAGGGGAGAGUGGAACUUCUGGUGGGGCGGUGAAAUGCGUAGAUAUCAGAAGGAACGCCGGCGGCGAAAGCGGCUCUCUGGCCCAUAACUGACGCUGAGUGUGCGAAAGCUAGGGGAGCAAACGGGAUUAGAUACCCCGGUAGUCCUAGCCGUAAACGAUGGGCACUAAGUAGAGGGGUUUU